RNAcentral lists this non-coding RNA (28 nucleotides) under Rattus norvegicus (Norway rat). Lineage: Eukaryota; Metazoa; Chordata; Mammalia; Rodentia; Muridae. The record is from RNAcentral.
UGCAAUUGCCAUAGCAACGGUGUGUACC